Molecule: unclassified non-coding RNA, 336 nt
Filed under: soil metagenome
Description: partial contains 5.8S ribosomal RNA, internal transcribed spacer 2, and large subunit ribosomal RNA
Rfam family: 5.8S ribosomal RNA (bases 1-120)
Source: RNAcentral
GAUGAAGAACGCAGCGAAAUGCGAUAAGUAGUGUGAAUUGCAGAAUUCAGUGAAUCAUCGAAUCUUUGAACGCACAUUGCGCCCCUUGGUAUUCCAUGGGGCAUGCCUGUUCGAGCGUCAUUUGUACCUUCAAGCUCUGCUUGGUGUUGGGUGUUUGUCUCGCCUCUGCGUGUAGACUCGCCUCAAAAUAAUUGGCAGCCGGCGUAUUGAUUUCGGAGCGCAGUACAUCUCGCGCUUUGCACUCAUAACGACGACGUCCAAAAGUACAUUUUUACACUCUUGACCUCGGAUCAGGUAGGGAUACCCGCUGAACUUAAGCAUACAAUAAGCGGAGGA